AGGACGAACGCUGGCGGCGUGCUUAACACAUGCAAGUCGAACGGAAAGGCCCGCUUGCGGGUACUCGAGUGGCGAACGGGUGAGUAACACGUGGGCAACCUGCCCUCAGCUUCGGGAUAACACUUGGAAGCAGGUGCUAAUACCGGAUAACAACUUUUCAUCGCAUGGUGGAUGGUUCAAAGUUUUUCGGCUGAGGAUGGGCCCGCGGCCUAUCAGCUUGUUGGUGGGGUAAUGGCCUACCAAGGCGACGACGGGUAGCCGGCCUGAGAGGGCGACCGGCCACACUGGGACUGAGACACGGCCCAGACUCCUACGGGAGGCAGCAGUGGGGAAUAUUGCGCAAUGGGCGAAAGCCUGACGCAGCGACGCCGCGUGAGGGAUGACGGCCUUCGGGUUGUAAACCUCUUUCAGCUCUGACGAAGCGCAAGUGACGGUAGGAGCGAGAAGAAGCACCGGCCAACUACGCGCCAGCAGCCGC
This 478-nucleotide ribosomal RNA is filed under the name uncultured bacterium. RNAcentral describes it as "SSU rRNA". It matches the Rfam family "Bacterial small subunit ribosomal RNA", at positions 26 to 518 of the family's 1533-position model. The record is from RNAcentral.